RNAcentral lists this long non-coding RNA (520 nucleotides) under Neodiprion pinetum (white pine sawfly). RNAcentral describes it as "uncharacterized LOC124218806". The record is from RNAcentral. Lineage: Eukaryota; Metazoa; Arthropoda; Insecta; Hymenoptera; Diprionidae.
CACGAAUGAUUUUACUAUGGAAGGUAGAGGGUGGGUAAUGAUUCCUUAAAACGAGCAUCAUGCGCCUGCUGCCGAGCCCUGAUCGAUGCAGCUCUUACCCUUAUUUGGGCCGAAGUUUAUCGGCCGUAUUUCUACCGCUGCUUCUCUUGCAAUGCUGCUGAAGUUACGCCGCAAAUAAAGAAUCGAGGGUAAAGGUAUACGACUGCUCGUGCCUGCCUUCUUCAUCGGAACACCUUUGUCUCUCAUGAUUAAAAACACCACAGCUGGGAAGACGACGCGGUCGUAAGGCGAGCCUGCUGCCGGGAUGGACAAACCCUUUUUUAAUCGCCGAGCGUAUAAGAUGCAAUUAAACCAGCUCCAGGCCGUAUUAUAAAGGAUAAUUGGAAAGUCACAAAGCGACAUGGGGCACUUAAUGGCCGCUGAAACCCGCCAAAACAAGUGGAUUUGGGCUGAUCCAUCCAGACAGUCUUCCUUAAGAGCUCAACCAAGUCCAGACAACAUUGAGAGGUUAUGUGAAAAG